CGACAGUCAUGCCGCAGUCAAAGUCACUUAGAUCACACAUCUUGUCCAUUACAAUAUUUGCUCAAACAAAAAAUUAAACAUCUUCACUAUGUCUGCAUACUUUAUAUAUUGAAUUGCAGCCACAUGAUUUGCUGUUUGGUGGAGUAGGCUAUUUGCGUUAAUGAGCGGGUGUACAUAAUACAGUUGCCGGUAUAUAAUACAAAGGAUAUGGGUUUGGUGUUGAUUUAGGGAUGUGUAUUGUGGCAAUAUAGAGACAAUGACGGGUGACCCCCCCUAUUCCCUAUUUUCUUGUUUUAGUUUACAUUGUUUAGAUGUAUUCUUUUAUUUUACUGUUAGUAUUCAUGUAUAUUGGUCAUCUGGGUCAGGUGUCUAUCUGAUUAUGCAGUACUCGCAAUGCACAGCAGAGAGCUGCUUGGGAAGGAAAUGGGAUGACUCGGUGCACAGAGUUCAGUGUUUGCCAAAGCAGUGGAAGUUAAACGUGCUACUACGAAGUGAUCAUUCUUUUGUGCAUUGUAUUGGAUAUUGCAGGGCUGUUCUGCUUCCACUGAUCCUUGGCCCCUU
Molecule: long non-coding RNA, 561 nt
Organism: Anguilla rostrata (American eel)
Lineage: Eukaryota; Metazoa; Chordata; Actinopteri; Anguilliformes; Anguillidae
Exons: 2
Source: RefSeq, a predicted model, not a curated record